CAACCACGCAAGCACAAUGCACCUCUGAUAGCCUCGAACCCGCCUCUUUUAAUUACAUAUAAAAUAUUUAAUAUAUACAUGUGAGACAUAAAUCUGAUGUUGUUUUAAGAUUCCCAGCACCACAGCAACAUUUUCACAAUGAGUACAUAGGUCUGGACUAUACACCAAUAUAUCAUCAAAGAAGACUAAUAUAAACUUGCUGAGAUGCUAGGGUGUUUGGAAGUCCAAAUGGCAUGACUCUAAACUCAUAGUGGCCAUCAUAGGUCAUAAAAGCUAUUUUCUAGAUGUCUUGUUCCGCCACUCUUAUUUGCUAGUACCCAGCUCUGAGAUCAAUUUUGUUAAACCACCUAAUCCCCUUCAAUUCAUCUAAUAGCUCAUCACUCAGUGGUAUUUGUCUUUAAUUGUGAGGGCAUUCAGCUGCCUGUUAUCAACACAAAACCUCCCAGUUCCAUCCUUUUUCUUAACCAGAAGUUCAGUUAGUGGUUUGGCUAUUCCUUGAUGAAUUUCUAUUAUGGAAUGUAUGGAAGUACAAUCCAAAUGAAAGGAAAUACAAUAAGUUGCAAAGCAUUCGAGAGGCUCUACUACUCUACCUAAACAAUAACAAAAUUCAGCCUACUUAUAAUGGUUCCUCUUGUCCGCUUAUAUAAGCCCCCAUUAACUAAUUCUAUUCAACCCAUUCAGUUUAGUUAACAGAAUCUGUUGCUACUUUUUCCCAGCUAGUGCACAAGUCUUCUUAACCGUUCUAGAAUGUACCUAAUUGGAGGUUUAUCAAAUCCAAGCUCCCUUUUGGUUUGGAUAUCCGAGGGGUGAUGGCUUUGAAUUUAAAUGGGUUGAUGGGGGUUUUUGAGAUUUGGUUCUGUAUAGGGUGUGGAUUUAGAUGUGGUUUCAUUUGGUGUAGUGUUUGGAUGGCACCAUUUAGUAGGUGAGAAUGAUUUGAAGGUCUUAGAUCCUUUGUUUGGGGUGUGAUGGUAUUUUCUUGUAAGGAGGCAAUUUCAAAGGCCAUAAUUAAGGUUGAGGAUUGGAUGAUUUUAACCAUAGAUUUGAUCUCUUUCAGGCCACUGGUGAAAAUCGAGAUGUAAUAGGACUCGGGCAAAUGGUAUAGGGAUAUCAUUACCUGAGACUUCAACUCUUCCAAUUGCACUUGAUAUUCCAUAAUGGUCCCCAUUUGCCUCAGCUUAUUGAAGACUUCUAUCACUUCCUCAGUAGUGUUUCAACAAACUAUCUACAAACUUCACUCGAAAACUUGUCCAAAUCGACAUUGGUAUGGCUGGAGAUGAAGCCAUGAAACCAUAUGUCCUAUUUUCCCUUCAAAUACAUCUCAGUUAUUCCCACCCUCAACUCAUCAGCCACUUGAUGAAUCUGGAAAUAUAUAUGGCCUUUGUUCAACUAAUCUCUAGGGAAGUCUAUUCUGGGUAAUAUAAUAUUCACUCUAGUCUCCCCAGUUCUAUGGGUAUUUCCCAGUGAUGGUUUCUUCCCAGAGGAUGGAGUACCAUAUCCUUCAACACGCUUUUCCUUGUGGUCUACCUUACCCCCAGUCAUCAAGAUGAACAUGGAUAUCGAUCGUAUUUGCUAUUCAUUUCUCCCAUCAAAUGCUCCAUUCGGUCCUGCUUAGUGCAGACUGCCUUCAACAUUUAAUCUGACAUCAGGUAUUUCUUUGUCUAGCUUCUUAAGGUGUUCCGCAUUAGAUUUACUCCCUAUGAAGCACCAACACGACCACGUACGUCCAAUAUGAAACACAUCAAAAACACUAACACUUGAUUUUGCAAAAAAGUUCCGACACUACAUGUUGGAUUUUAUACGCAAUAUUAAAGAGAUGAAAACGGAAAUCAACACAAGAAUUUUACGUGGUUCGGCGAUGUGCCUACGUCCACGAGAGCGAAACGGAGAUUUCUUUAUUCAGUUCUAAAAAAUAGGGUUACAACAUAUUAUUUAUACUAACCCUAGCCUGGACCCAUAUAAGACUUUAAGAUACUGCGGGGGCGUUGCCCCCGCACCCCCAACCCAUUCAACGUCCCUAACA
This 2020-nucleotide long non-coding RNA is filed under the name Olea europaea subsp. europaea. The record is from RNAcentral. Lineage: Eukaryota; Viridiplantae; Streptophyta; Magnoliopsida; Lamiales; Oleaceae.